AUUUUCUAGGGUUGUACCGUGGCACAUGGAGGUUCCCAGGCUAGGGGUCCAAUAGGAGCUGUAGCCACCAGUCUACACCAUAGCCACAGCAAUGCAGAAUCCAAGGUGUGUCUCUGAUCUACACCACAGCUCACAGCAAUGGCGGAUCAUUAACCCACAGAGUAAGGCCAGGGAUUGAAUCCACAACCUCGUGGUUCCUAGUUGGAUUUGUUAACCACCGAGCCGUGACGGGAACUCCUACUUUCUUUUACAAAGACAUCAAUAUUUAUGAUCUCACUGGUUUCACUAAUUCAACUAUCAUUUAGUGAACACCUACCUUGUGACAAGUUAUGCUAUAAGUACUGAAGAUAAAAAAUUAAAUAACACUCUGUCUUUUCCUCACACUAGAUGGUAGGUGCUCUCCUCAGAGCCUGCUGCAUCCCUCAGGGCCCCAGAGAUGCUGAUUUCUGAGUCCUCACUUCCUUAGGAGGGUAAUGUUCCCCUUGCCUUCCUUGCCUUUCAGGAUUAGAAGAUUGAGUUAUGGAGAUCUGAGUUCUGGUCUCUCUGGCAUCAGGCCAUUCUGAAAGGUCCUUUCCUUUCAGGCAGAAAACCGACAAAGUCAGGCACUUUGCUCUGAGGCUUUCAUUUGCGUUUCUAAGUUGAUUGCCUAAAACUCAGACCGCUUUCCCUGUGGGGAGAGGGAUGGACUGGGCUUCUUAAAGUGUGUGUGUGUGUGUGUGUGUGUGUGUGUGUGUGUGUGCGCGCGCGCGCGUGUGAGAAGAGAGGGCAGAGUGUGGGUGGGGUAAUAGGACCCUGUGUCCUUCUUUGAUGUUGUCCCCUUAGGGAGCCCUUAUUAGAGCCUUCUCUAGCCUUCUUCUCUCUAGUCCCUUGUAACUAGCUUCACCUCUGUCACUUUCUCCUUUCACUCCACUGGCCUCCAAGGUGUUUAGCCAGCCAAGCUUGCUCCCUCCUUAUGGCCUUUAUGUUCUGUGUCCCUUCUGUGUGGGCCACUCUCCCCUGAGUCAUGAGGUUAACCUCUGACUUCCUUCAGGUCUUUACUCACCUUCUCUGUGAGGCCUUCCAUGGCCACUCUUUCAAAACUGUCAGCCUUUCAUCUCGAUGCUCUAUACAUUUCCCUGCUCUACUAUGUCUCCUGAGCACUCGCUAUUGUUUACUUAAUUUCUGCUAGAAACAGAGCGGAAUGGACAAUAAAAGACAGAUAAUCUCCAGGGGAACAUGGAUUUUUGUCUGUUUGUUUCUUUCUUUUUUUUCUUUUUACAGCUGCACCUGUGGCACAUGGAAGAUCCAGGGCUAGGGCCUGAAUCAAAGCUGCAGCUGAGCCCUAUGCCACAGCCAUGGCAACAUCUAAAACCUGUGCUGCAGCUUAUGGCAGUGCUGGAUCUUUAACACAGUGAGUGAGGCUAGGGUUCAAACCUGCAUCCUUACAGAGACUGUGCUGGGUCCUUAACUCCCUGAGCCACAAUAGGAACUCCUGUCUGUUUUUUUCAUACUCUGUCUUAUAGAAUAGUUCUUUGUACAUGGUACAUUCUUUAGUAAGUAUUUGUUAAGUGAAUGAAUAAUGACAAAAUUCCCUAAGUCUCAGCUAGACAAAUAGGAAGUAUAAUCUCCUUCAUUUAAAUUGAUCAUAUGAUUUGGACAAUUGGAAUUUCAGUAGAAAUUCUUGACUUUAGGAUUGAAGACUCCCCUAAGCUUGUUGGCUAGUAUAGGGAAUCUUAGUAACAAAGGGCAUAAAGUCACAUAGUUUAUGAUAGUUUUAAUCAUAGUUUAUGAUUUUUUGAAGAUGAAGGAGAUGUGGCAUUUCUUGCAUCACAAUGUUUUGAGCAAAGUGUAGCCAGUUCACCUUGAGUGUGCACAAAAGCCAGCCUUGCCGCCUCCUGCUAGCUUUUGUCGGUGCAAGUAUGCCUGGCAGUUUGACUUGAGAAUGGCAUUAAGGACUUGCCAUGGUGCUGACAUGAGAAGUGAGAAAUGGCAAGUGCAUGGAACUAGCACAGGGAGCAAAGGGUCAGUGUUUCAAUACCAGCCAUGGCUUAGUUGAUAAGAUACUGCAAAUGAGUACUUCAUGUGUGUGUGUGAGUCUCUGUGUGUCACAUAAGAAGCAUAUAUUGUGUUAUGUGCACAAUGGCCAGUGAAUUUGAUGCCUCUGUUAUGGAUGCUAUUGGAUGUGUCAGCACUUCUUCCAUUCCCUUCUGUCUUGAGGUGUGUGGAAAUUUCUCCUGUGCCAUCCUUUACUUUGAUAAAGGAAUUGAAAAUAAGGUCUCCUCUCUUUGCUUUUGACUUCUCCAUUCAUAUAAUUGGUUUUCCUCCUUUGCUCAGUGCUCCCUAUGGUCACAUCAUAUUACAAAUUAUUAUAUAAUAAAAGUUGUUGCCUUGUAUUUUCUUUCCUACCUGUUUCCUACAGAACUUGGGAGAAAUAAAAGGAAUUGACCCAGGUUAAGAUGACAAAAAUAAUUAUCCCUCGUUUAAAAGAAGAAAAGUUUACAUUAAUAGACUAAUUCAAAUUUAUUUAAUUUUGCACAGAAUUAAAAAAAGCAUCUCACUGAAAAGUAACAUGAAAAAGAAUAUUAAAAUUCUUGAUAAGUUAAGGGGUUAGAAACUACCAUUUAUUGACUAUGUAUAGGGUACCAUCUAGAAAUUCAGUAACUGAGCUGAGAAAUUGAUGUUAUCCCAUUUUACAGGGAAAGAAACCAAGCUUCAGGGAUGUUAAUAAAUGCUAAGGACAUAUUAGUAGGAAGUGGGAGAGGCUGGAUUUGUAUUUAGAUGUGUCUGAUUCCAACCAAACUUUACUAUGCUGGUUUCCAACUGUCUUUAAAUUCAGAGUGUUCUUAAAAUUUCAGUACUGUACAUUCUAAAUUGAAAGCACUGUAUUUCAUUUCUAAGUAAGAUCAUCUUUUCCCUUUGCCAGAAAUAAUAUCUUUGAUUGCUCUAGCGCUUGGUUUGUAUGAAUUGCUUUCCUUGUUUUCUCAAUGCCAUGCAGGGAUUUAAAGUUCCUUGCUGUUAAAAACAGAGAUGAGUUACCUCAUUUUUGAAAUUCCUACACUGAGUUUCAAAAGCAAAAACAUGUCAUUAGGAGCUUAGGCUCAGAAUCUGAAUUUCAUCUUCUCUGCUUACUUACUGCAUAAUAGUGGCCACAUUCCUUAAUUAGGCUGUACCUCAAUAUCUCUAUCUGUAAAACAGAGGUAAUAUCAUCAAUAUAAAGAUUAAAAUAGUUAAUGUGUUAAUACAAUUAAAGUGCUUUUAAACAGAGCCUGACACACAAACAUCACCAAUAAAAUUUUUAUUUCUACCCAGGCAUGGCAAUCAUAAAGAGACAAUCAUUUUCAUUUUCUGGAACAUAGGAUAUUAGUUUCCUAAGGAUCCUUUCCUUCCAUGUCUUCCUGUUAACUAUCUGCUAGGGUUAUGCCAGCUGCGCAUGGUGCUUUUUCACUCAAGAGGAAGACAUCUGAAAAUAGGCCUGUCUGUCUCUUUUAUUUUUAAAUUCAUACAUUUGUAAUGAAAAAAGCAAACUGAUCAUCAUUGGAGGAUCUUAGUGGACCAACUCAGUAUUUUGAAAAUUGGUCAGUACAGCAACAUACUAAAGGCCUAUCCUUCAUUUCCUGUGUGGACUGUCCUACUAGAUAAUCAAUAGUAGAAAAGGAAUUAUUUCUUUUCACAGAAGAGUGCAUGGAUCUAGGCAUUGGACAUCAAUACCCCUAAGAUCAAAGAGAGACAUAGAUAGAUAGACAGAUAGAUAGAUAUAUAGAUAGAUAGAUUAUGUGAUUCCAUUUAAUUGAACAUACCAUCAAUAAAGUAGUCUUAUUAAACACUAUAAUUUAUGGAGUUCCCAUUGUGGCUCAGCAAUAACGAACCUGAUUAGUAUCCGUGAGGACAUGGGUUCAGUCCCUAGCCUUGCUCAGUGGGUUAAGGAUCUGAUGCUGCUGUGAGCUGUGGUGUAGGUUGCAGACAUGGUUUAGUGUUGCUUAGGCUGUGGUGUAGGCAGGCAGCUUCAGCUCUGAAUUGACCACUAACGUGGGAACUUCCAUUUGACGUGGGUGCAACCCUGAAAAAAGAAAAGAAAAGGAAAAAAAAAAAAAAGAAAAAAAA
Molecule: long non-coding RNA, 4080 nt
Filed under: Sus scrofa (pig)
Lineage: Eukaryota; Metazoa; Chordata; Mammalia; Artiodactyla; Suidae
Description: lncRNA (ENSSSCG00030033130.1)
Source: RNAcentral